UGUUUUUGAGACCAAGGAACAAGUAUUUCGUCUUGAUUACCACUCGCUAUAGGCUCUGUUAACAGUGUAAAGAAAGUUGGAAGUUCUCUCCUGAGAAGAAGUAACUUCAAUUUGGAAGGACCCGGGCUUCUCAUGUUUCUCUUUGUAUCCUGACCGCUGGGAACUGCCUUACCUGCAGCUACAAAGAGUUAAGUCCUGCAAGUGAGGCUUAGACUCAGAUCUUGUGAAGUGUUUUCACAUUUCCCCAUGAACGCCUAGUGCGGGGCUGGGACUGACUGAUCUGCUGUAGUCAUGAGCGCAUGGGUGGCCUGUGUGCGGCCUUAUUGCCAAUAAUUGCAGGACUUGGUGCAGUAUGGUUGAACAGGUGCUCAGACUGGAUUUGUGUCUAGCGAGGCCAUCCUGAAGCUGCAUGGGAGUUGUAAAAAAGUUACCAACAAGUUUUUAGUUAUUCGAAUAGGUUUUUUAACAGAUUUGGAAUGUGGGAAGCAGUUGCAGAAAUAAACGUCUUAAUGACUAAA
Molecule: long non-coding RNA, 518 nt
Filed under: Pongo abelii (Sumatran orangutan)
Lineage: Eukaryota; Metazoa; Chordata; Mammalia; Primates; Hominidae
Description: lincRNA
Source: RNAcentral